GGGGCUGAAAUAGGUUCGACGGAAGGAUCCGCGGUCAACGUAAGCAGGCGGAGUUGCGAGCCCUCCUAAAACGAUCGCAAGCGUUAUACACGCGAACAAUCAAUACGCACUCGCUGCUUAAUUAAGUAGCGACGGAACGCGGAGAGUCGGCCCGAACCGCUCCGUAGUUCCGCCACAAAUUCGGGCUGGCACGCUUUCCUGACCCGAGGAGCGUGUAAGAUAAAGGGUCUGCAGCGAACGGCAAUCCGCGCUUUGAGGAGUACGUUCGAAUAAGAAAAAGUCGAAGCUGAGCCUGGAGAAAGCGUUGGUCGGGCUUUUCGGACUCGGGGGGCAGCACCCCGACAGCUCCACCA
RNAcentral lists this transfer-messenger RNA (353 nucleotides) under Vulcanimicrobiota bacterium. It matches the Rfam family "transfer-messenger RNA". From Rfam's summary of the family: Bacterial tmRNA, also known as 10Sa RNA or SsrA, is named for its dual tRNA and mRNA-like properties. Its role is to liberate the mRNA from a stalled ribosome. Lineage: Bacteria; Bacillati; Vulcanimicrobiota. The record is from RNAcentral.